CCCAGACCUGCCUCCUCCCUGGAGCGGGUUCUGCAGGGCUGCUCUCUGGGGACAAACCCCACCCAUUGCCUUUGUCGGAGGAAGUCCUUCCUUUGGCUUCACAUUUGAGGCGCAGCUUGCUGCUCGGGGGUUCCAGGGGCCAACUCCUUUCCCUGCUGAUGGCUAUCCUGAGUCCUGGCAGCCUGAAGCAGCCUUGUCCCUGCUGCCCCGGGUCGAGGCUGCAGGUGUCCUCAGUUUCUUGGAGCUGUGGUUUGGUGUCCAUCUUUAAAUCAGGAAGUUUUUCAGUCAAUACUCAUCACUUGACCUUUUAUGGUCCUUUCUUUUUCCUGGGCACAUGGCCAGCGCCUGUGACCGGCGGUUCCUCCCUAUCCCUGUUUUCCUGCUCCUCCCUCGCUCCCUCCCUUUGCUUUCCCCUCUGGGGCAUGGUACUCAUGUCCUGCGGGCCAGCCUGCCUGAGGUGCUGCCGUUCCCUGCAGGCGAGGCCCGGUUCCCCCAGCCUUCCUCCAAGGGGCCACCUUCUGCAUACCCGCCUCUGUUCCUUCGUGUUGGCACGUCCUCCAUCGGGGCCAUAGCUCACUGAUAGUUGCUGUUUUAGAUUCCUGGUCUCAUCAUUCCAAAUCUGCCGUGUUCUUGUCCUUUCUUUCUUUCUUUUUUUACAUUUACUUGGUUGUAGAUGGACACACAGUAUCUUUAUUCAUUUUUAUGUGGUGCUGAGGAUUGAACCCCGUGCCUCACACAUGGGAGGCAAGCGCUUUACCACUGAGCUACAUCCUCAGCCCGUUACUGUCCUUUCU
This 794-nucleotide long non-coding RNA is filed under the name Marmota monax (woodchuck). The record is from RNAcentral. Lineage: Eukaryota; Metazoa; Chordata; Mammalia; Rodentia; Sciuridae.